This is a long non-coding RNA of Carassius auratus (goldfish), 640 nucleotides long. RefSeq lists it as uncharacterized. The record is from RefSeq and is a predicted model, not a curated record. NCBI's taxonomy places the organism in Eukaryota, Metazoa, Chordata, Actinopteri, Cypriniformes, Cyprinidae. The transcript is spliced from 3 exons.
GAUUACGGACACUGAAGACUUUAAGCAGAAAGUUCAAGUCUGGGUGGCCAAAAGUUAUAUUUCAGUGACCUGGUUACCGUCUCUCUCUGCAAACCCAAAGGAUCACUUUCCUCAGCGGAUCUGCCCCAAUCAUCAUUAACGGGACCACAGUGGAGAGAGUGAGCAUCUUCAAUACCUUCAAAUGCCCUGCAAAGAGUAGCUGAGCACAUGUCCAGAACAUCUCUCCCCUCUCUGCAAGACAUCCAAACCAGGAGAUGUAAAUCUAGGGCUGUUAAGAUCCUUAAAGACCCCACCAACCCAUCUGCUACAGUCAGGCAGACGCUUCUGCAGUCUGAUGGCAAAGACGGAGAGGCUCAGGAGGAGUUUCUUCCCUCAUGUUAUCAGACUACUAAACAUGGACAUUAAACACACUGCACUUUAUAGACUGGUUGUUUAGGGCUACCCAAUAACUCUCUGCACACUGCGCUUUUUGACAACCUAACUAGGUAUUUCAUCCUCACUGCACAUUGUGUACAUCUCUGCACAUUAUCUGAGUAGCAGUUUCUGUGUAGCACCUCUACAAAUCAUCUGUGUAGUAAUACAGUAUAUUGUGAAUAUUUCAUUAUUUGUAUUUAAUUAUCUCCAAAAAAAAAAAAAACAU